Chiroxiphia lanceolata (lance-tailed manakin) is the source of this 2140-nucleotide RNA transcript. It is a transcript of the gene named glycosyltransferase 8 domain containing 1, with no coding region annotated. Lineage: Eukaryota; Metazoa; Chordata; Aves; Passeriformes; Pipridae. The transcript has 11 exons. The record is from RefSeq and is a predicted model, not a curated record.
GUGCUGCCUGUUCAAGGUUUUCAGGAACCUUAUGCUCAUAAAGAAAACAAUAGAAAAAUGACAUUAAGGAAAGUGAACAUUUCCAUCCUUAUCGUGGCUGUUGUAAUAUUUUUGCUAGUUCUUCAUCAUAACUUCCUAAGCCUCAGUGACUUCUUGAAGCGGGAGUUAUCAGAUUCAAGUCCCUUAGGACUUCAGCCUAUAGAUUUCAUUCCUGCAGCUCCCCAGAGGCUGAUAGAUGAGAGGAAUGAUAAGGAGAUUUCUGUGGUCAUUGCAGCGUCAGAUGAGAGGCUUGGGGGUGCAAUUGCAGCCAUGAACAGCAUUUACCAUCACACCAGAUCCAACGUGGUUUUCCAUAUUGUUACUCUGAAUGAUACAGUGGAUCACUUGAGGCUGUGGCUUAGUGGCACUGCUCUGAAAAACCUGAGAUACCGAAUUUUGGAUUUUGACCCUCGUGUCUUAGAAGGGAAAGUACAAGUGGAUCCCCAAAAAGCAGACACCUUCAAACCAUUAACCUUUGCAAGAUUCUACUUGCCCAACUUGGUACCUCAUGCAGAGAAGGUCAUCUAUGUGGAUGAUGAUGUAAUAGUGCAAGAUGAUAUUCUUGAACUUUACAACACUCCACUGAAACCUGGACAUGCAGCUGCAUUUUCAGAUGAUUGUGACUCAACCACUAGCAAAGUUGCUGUCCGUGGAGCAGGCAAUCAGUAUAACUACAUUGGCUUUCUAGAUUACAAAAAAGAAACCAUCCGAAAGCUCGCCAUGAAAGCCAACACCUGCUCUUUCAAUCCAGGAGUUUUCGUUGCCAAUUUGACAGAAUGGAAAUUACAGAACAUCACUAAGCAAUUGGAGAAGUGGAUGGCACUUAAUGUCAUAGAGGAACUUUACAGUAAGACUCUGGCUGGCAGCAUCACAACACCUCCACUGCUAAUUGUAUUCUACAAGCAGCAUUCCAGUAUUGAUCCCAUGUGGAACGUCCGACAUCUCGGGUCUAGUGCUGGAAAAAGGUACUCUCCUCAGUUUGUGAAAGCUGCCAAGCUGCUCCAUUGGAAUGGACAUUUCAAACCUUGGGGAAGAACAGCUUCCUAUGCUGAAGUCUGGGAGAAGUGGUAUGUCCCUGACCCUACAGGCAAGUUCAACCUGAUCCGCAGACACUCGGAAGCCUAUGAAGCAAAGUAGAGCCAAUGUUGAUAACUGAUGGUGCUUUCUCAGGAAGCUUUUGGAGCCAAGCAGAACAUUUCUUUUUUUAGCCAACAUGUAUUACAGAGCCAUCUGGAGCACAAGGUGAUGCACUUAUUCAGGUGCAGUUCUGAAAUGCACAGGUCCAAAGGAGGCUCAUGUCACCUGCAUGACAGAAGGUGCUGCUCCAGCAGCACUACAGAAAGGGAGGAUCGAUCUCCACAAACAGGCACUUUUGUUUAGAUCAUUUCAGUCGUGUUCUUCUGCUCUUUACUGCGAGUCUUGUAGCAGAGGAUCAUUUUAUCAGUUACAGAAACGUUUCUAAGAACAAGAUACAAAUUCAUUUGGUGCUUGCACCACGCAAAUCUUGCACAUCAAUGUACUGUAAUUAAGAGUUGCUUGGGUUCUGGGUUUGUUUUUUGUUGUUUUGUUUUGUUAUUCUGUGAAAUAGUUCCCUCAACAACCCUUUCAUGCAUGAAAUCUCCCAACCAUUUCUGUGUAAGUCUUUCUUGCAGAAUUCUACAAAAUGGAAUCUUUUAUGAAAGAUGAAUUCUUCAAGUUUUAUUUCACUAUGCAAAGUGGUUUUAACUGCCAGUGAACACUAAAACAUGUUUUGUAAAGUGGUGGAUGAAACCUUGUUCAAAAAUAAAGCUAAUUGUAACAUGUUGACUCAAGCCUCGGGUAAAUGGCUGCCCAUCCUCUGUGCUACAGAGCAAAUGACAGCUUGCUCCAGCUGAGGACACCGGCAGCCCAUCGGAUCUCUCGCAUCUAAAACCUCCAGAACCACAUCUGAGGCCUCAAGCACCUGGGUUAGAAACAGGACAAGACUCUCAAAUAAGGCAUCACACACCAGAUGACAACAGUUACUGCGUUGUAAACACUCUCUGUUGUAAAAUCCCGUAAGUGUUGAUGUUUAUCACAACCUUUAUACUCUCCAGCAGCUGCACAGUAAUGCCAAAGAAAG